UCCUGCUCCACUUCCCCAAGAAACCGAUCCUGCUGGAGUGGACUAGUCGGAGCAGAGGUCCUUCCGUCGACGAAUCCAGCGGCGGCGGCCGGUGAGCUUGUUUCCAAGGCGCCUUGAGUCAACUCAGUGAGCAAGCAGUUUCAAGAUUGAGUAGGAGUGUCGUGUCGCUUGCUUCAUUUGAUGGUGAUACCAAGUUACGCGAAUGCACAGGCAUAUGCAUUGAAACCUCAGCUCCUGAUUCUGAAGCUACAAUCCUAACAUCCAGACAGUUGAUUCCACCAACUUGGCCUGCAAGUUUGACGAUUAAAGUACGCCUUUCGAAUAAUCGGAUUGUCACUGGGCGGAUAGAGGAUCCCGGGAUAUAUGUUGAUUUUUUCAUUGUCAACAUCAGGAAUGUGUCUGGAGUUGAUGUCGCAAGUCUUGAUGGUGACAUGCAGUUUGAGCCUCAUACGAAGGUAGUAGCUGUAUGGCGCUGUUUCAAUUCAGGACUUCUAAAGUCCACAAGGGGACUAAAUCUUGCCUCUCCAAGCCUUCUAACCGGUGAGACAA
Long non-coding RNA from Triticum dicoccoides, 549 nucleotides. RefSeq lists it as uncharacterized. The record is from RefSeq and is a predicted model, not a curated record. NCBI's taxonomy places the organism in Eukaryota, Viridiplantae, Streptophyta, Magnoliopsida, Poales, Poaceae. The transcript has 4 exons.